GACGAACGCUGGCGGCGUGCCUAAUACAUGCAAGUAGAACGCACAGUUUAUACCGUAGCUUGCUACACCAUAGACUGUGAGUUGCGAACGGGUGAGUAACGCGUAGGUAACCUGCCUGGUAGCGGGGGAUAACUAUUGGAAACGAUAGCUAAUACCGCAUAAUAUUGAUUAUUGCAUGAUAAUUGAUUGAAAGAUGCUAUUGCAUCACUACCAGAUGGACCUGCGUUGUAUUAGCUAGUAGGUGAGGUAAUGGCUCACCUAGGCCACGAUACAUAGCCGACCUGGGAGGGUGAUCGGCCAAACUGGGACUGGAGCAAGGCCCCAACUCCUACGGGAGGCAGCAGUAGGGAAUCUUCGGCAAUGGACGAAAAGCUGAACGAGCAACGGCGCGUGAGUGGAGGAGGUUUUCCGAUCGUAAAGCUCUGUUGAAAGAGAAGAACGGGUGUGAGAGUGGAAAGUUCACACUGUGACGGUAUCUUACCAGAAAGGGACGGCUAACUACGUG
RNAcentral lists this ribosomal RNA (505 nucleotides) under uncultured bacterium. RNAcentral's name for it is "partial 16S ribosomal RNA". It matches the Rfam family "Bacterial small subunit ribosomal RNA", at positions 28 to 507 of the family's 1533-position model. The record is from RNAcentral.